GGGACUGCCGGACCGGUUCUACGAGAUUUACGUGGUCGACAGGGACAAGCGCCUGAAAGGCGCGGUGCCUCUCGAUGCGUUGCUGCGCGCGCGGCGGCCGGGGCCGAUCAUUCUGGUCGAGGAGGACCGCCGGCGGGUUUCAGAUCACGAGGACAUCGCGGAAGUCGCGCGGAUGUUCGGCAAGUACAAUCUUGUCGCCGCGCCGGUGACCGACAGCGAGGAUCAUCUCGUUGGCGUUAUCACCAUCGACGA
RNAcentral lists this unclassified non-coding RNA (252 nucleotides) under Hevea brasiliensis (rubber tree). The record is from RNAcentral. Lineage: Eukaryota; Viridiplantae; Streptophyta; Magnoliopsida; Malpighiales; Euphorbiaceae.